Mesocricetus auratus (golden hamster) is the source of this 107-nucleotide small nuclear RNA. The record is from Ensembl. NCBI's taxonomy places the organism in Eukaryota, Metazoa, Chordata, Mammalia, Rodentia, Cricetidae.
GUGCUCGCUUCGGCAGCACAAAUACUAACCCUGGAACGAUACAGAGAAGAUUAGCAUGGCCCCUGUGCAACACUGACAGGCAAAUUCGUGAAGCGUUCCACAUUUAA